This is an RNA transcript of Lolium rigidum, 2233 nucleotides long. RefSeq lists it as uncharacterized. The transcript is spliced from 12 exons. The record is from RefSeq and is a predicted model, not a curated record. Lineage: Eukaryota; Viridiplantae; Streptophyta; Magnoliopsida; Poales; Poaceae.
AUGGCUGCCGCCGCCGGCGGGGCAGCCGGCCGCCCGUGGCGCGUGAUACCGCGCCCUGUCCUGGAGACCGUCCUCCACAACCACGCCCUCCACCCGCGCGUGCCGCAGCCGCUGCUCCUCCACGGCCCGCGCGGCGUCGGCAAGUCCACGCUCCUCCUCGACCGCCUCCUCCCCCAGUGGUCCGAGCCCCCGCACUACGCCGCCUUCGUCGACUUCCUCCACCCCGCCCACGCCCACGCCACCGCGGCGCCGUGGUCCCUCCUCGCCGACCCCACGGCCCCCUCCCUCCCCUCCCUCCGCCUCCAGCUCGAGUCCGCGCUCGAGGGACUCACCCGCGCCGCAGUGCUCAAAGGCGCCGUCGGCUCCAAGGACGUGCUCGCCGCGCUCUCCCGGUCCCACGGCCUCCACACCGCGCUCUCCCGCCUCGCGGGCCCCGGCCGGGGCACCAGCUCUGUCCCGGUGCUCUGGGCGAGGGCCGUGCUAGCCGCGACCUCCUCCGCGCGCGGCGAGGACCCCACGUUCCGCAUUGGCGAGGGAGAGGCGGCCAACUGCUCCAUGGAGGAGACCGCGUACAUGCAGGAGGCCAUGGCGGCGCUGCGCGUGGCCAAGGAACUUCUCCGGAUGCAGGAGGGGUGGAGGAAGGAGGCGUUGCGGGAGAUGAAUAGGACGGGCCGGUUCUCGCGCCCGCUCGUCAAUUCAGCCACGGACUGGCCGUGCCUCCUGCUGGACGUGCUGUCUGGCGCCGCUGAGGUGGAUUUCUUCCAGCCAAAGCUGGUGCUGAACAAUGUGGAUGUACUUAAGAGGGCGGCGUGUGAGGAUGACACUAUGGUGCCUGCAGCAAUGUACCAUGACAGCUUCAUCUGGAGGCUGAUCGCACUUGGUGCUAAUGAACAGUGUCUGCCUGUGUUUAUGUCGACCUCAGAUGGAUACUAUUCUUCUCAAGCAUUUGUUGAUUUCGGUUUUCCUAAUAUCUUCAUUUCUCGUGAGACAUUUGGUUGGACACAACAAGAAGCUAAACUGCAUAUGGUUUCUGAGUUCUUCAGUGAAAAGGAGUGGAAAGUUGUUGAUGAGAUUCUUGGGACAAACACACGACACCUAUCUGAGAUAUAUAUGCUGAAGCAAAAGGCCAGUCGCCCAGAGGUUUUGCAUGACACGAACAUUGAGGAAAUUGUUGACACAUACCUGGCACACUUGCAAGUAUCUAUUGUGAAUCCUGCUAUGGAUACAGCAUUGAGUAUGGUGCAGAAGUUCGCCUCUGAUGUUCGCGAGGGUAAAAUACCAGAAAACAGACUGUCUUUUGGUGCACCCUGGAGACAUCCACCCAGGACUGACAACCCUGAUACGUCAUAUAAGUGGGCAAAGAUUCAACUUAUGGAUUUUGUCCAAUCCUUUGUAAACGCUGAAUUUGGGUUGAACUACCUAGCAGAUGAUAGCCUGGAAAUAUUGGAUGAUCCUGCAGCAGUGGCUAUGAUGGAGGUCGGCCUACUUUAUCAACAGAGAGAACCAUCCUUUAUGCGACCAAUCACUCGUGGGAUUCAGCGCUGUCUUGCUAGAUGGCUUGUUCAGCAGAGAUUAGAGUUGAACCUUCAAGAAUCAAUAUCAUUCUUAUGGCAACGUGCAAUACGUGGGCGAAGCUACCGGCACUUGAUGAAAGAAGUCGGCUACAAGUAACAAGCUAUAUUAUGUCAAGAAAAUUCUCUUGUGUCUAGAAGUGAUUUGAAUGAAGCAGGAACCAUUUUCAAUUCUAUGGUGUGGAACUGACUUGUUAUUUUGAUGGAUUUACCCUCUAGUAUCCAUAAGAUUAUGUGAAGCACACAUAUGAUUUCACAACCACUGACAUGCGAAUGAUGGCUCAGAAAUUUUUCAUCAUGGUUGCCAGAGGUGGACGUCUUUUUUGUACUAUGCUAACAAGGAUAUCUAUUGUGGUAGCACUAUGGUUCUUUUUAGGUCUCUUAUUUAAGUAUUUAUACACCAUUUUGGAUGAGACGUUGCGAACAGAGAAUCUCGCUCAAGUAGCAACAUGAGUUGACACAAAACCACUUUUAUCGUUUACAUACUCUGGUAGUAGGCAAUAAGCUCUGAUUUUUUGGGUGGAUGUUUUUGUAAUUCAGCAUGAUCAGAUUAUAUACCAGUUCAUGCUCUGAUACACAUAAUAAUACUGUGACUCAUGGCUUGGUAAGACAGCCAUGCUCACUAUGUUCAUCUGUGACCAAUAUGAAUAGGCCUUGCAUUG